This 253-nucleotide ribosomal RNA is filed under the name uncultured prokaryote. RNAcentral describes it as "partial 16S ribosomal RNA". It matches the Rfam family "Bacterial small subunit ribosomal RNA", at positions 524 to 776 of the family's 1533-position model. The record is from RNAcentral.
UACGUAGGUGGCAAGCGUUGUCCGGAUUUACUGGGUUUAAAGGGUGCGUAGGCGGGCCAUUAAGUCAGUGGUGAAAGCUCCGAGCUUAACUCGGAAACUGCCAUUGAUACUAUUGGUCUUGAAUUCGGUCGAGGUUGGCGGAAUGUGUCGUGUAGCGGUGAAAUGCUUAGAUAUGACACAGAACACCGAUUGCGAAGGCAGCUAGCUAGACCGACAUUGACGCUGAGGCACGAAAGCGUGGGGAUCAAACAGG